UGCUUGUUGGUAGACUUAUGAUCUGGUUGGU
This 31-nucleotide non-coding RNA is filed under the name Rattus norvegicus (Norway rat). Lineage: Eukaryota; Metazoa; Chordata; Mammalia; Rodentia; Muridae. The record is from RNAcentral.